UUUAGGCUUAGGCUUAGGCUUAGGCUUAGGCUUAGGCUCAAACUUAGGCUAAGGCUAAGGCUCGGACUCACGGUUAGGUUUAGUGUUAGGCUUAGACUUGGGCUUAGGCUUGGGCUUAGGCUUAAGCUUAGUCUUAUGCUUAGGCUUAGGUUUUGCGUAGGCUUAGGUUUAGGCUUAGGCGUAGGCUUAGGUUUAGGCUUAGG
Molecule: non-coding RNA, 203 nt
Organism: Caenorhabditis elegans
Lineage: Eukaryota; Metazoa; Nematoda; Chromadorea; Rhabditida; Rhabditidae
Source: Ensembl